UCAAGAUGGAGUCUCGCUCUGUUGCCCAGACUGGAGUGUAGUGGCGUGAUCUCGGCUCACUGCAAGCUCCGCCUCCCGGGUUGACGCCAUUCUCCUGCCUCAGCCUCCCAAGUAGCUGGGACCACAGGCACCCACCACCACACUCAGCUAAUUUUUUGUAUUUUUAGUAGAGACGGGAUUUCACCAUGUUAGCUAGGAUGGUCUCGAUCUCCUGACCUCCUGAUGCACCCACCUCGGCCUCCCAAAGUGUUGGGAUUACAGACUGUGAUCAUAUACAUCCUUCCCUUGGCAAGAUCAAGGCUGCAUCUGAUUAAGCCAAUUUGGGCAGGCUGUUUAUAGUCACUGCCUAAUCAUUGAGAGAGUUUACACCAUGAAUGGGAUCAUCGGCCACCCAUUCGACAUGAGACUGCCAUUGGAUAUUUACAUCAUUUCAGCCAAAGCACCUUGCAGAUCUCACUUUCUUCUCCUCUCGCUCCUAGGAUGAUUGGCAGAUGCCAUGCAGGACUCCUCCACUAUUGGCUGACACCCUCCAAGGAAACUGCCAGAUCAAAGUUUGAUUAGUUAGAGGGCACAUCCCUGAAUGCCACAGCAGAAACUAAUGAUUCCACAGCAAGAGAGCCAUGCCCUGAUGUCACUGCCUAGCUGGUGCAGAUGUUGAAAGCAGAGUUCCUUCAUCUCCCAACCAGCUGCCCUCCCCAAGCCUCUCUGCCUUGAGUCUAUUCUCUGCACUCCCCUCUGAUAAUCAUUGGAUAGCUUUCCAUACAAGGUCAAAAUCCUUUACAACCUGACCCCAGCCUUUUAUCUCUGACCACCCUGUACAUUACACCGUUUACUCCAACCAUCGGCAACCAACAUCCAUUUCCUGAAACGCAAUCCACUCUUAAGUCUGGUGACCUUUGCACAUACUGUCUCUUCUGACUAAAAUGUUUUUCCCUUUGACUGACACCAAUCCAACCUAUAAGACCUUGUCCAAAUAGCAUCUCCUCCAUGCUACCCCCUAUCUGGGUUCCAACUUCACAACAUACAUGCUUCUAGUGCAACACUAAUCUCAUUUGCUAUGGUUUGGAUAUUUGUCCCCUCCAAACCUUAUAUUGAAAUUUGAUCCCCAGUGUUGGAAGUGGGGCUUAAUGAGAGGUGUUUGGGUCAUGGAGGUAGAUUCCUCAUGAAUACAUUAAUGACCUGAAUUGGGGGAAUGAGAGAGUUAUUACUCUAUUAGCUCCCUCAAGAGCUGAUUGUUUAAUAGGCCCUGGCACCUCUUCCCACCUUGUUUUCUCUCUAGCCAUGUGAUCUCUGGACACACUGGCUCCCAUUUGCCUUCCACCAUAGUAGAAGCAGCCUGAGGCCCUCAGAUGCAGAUGCUGGUGCCAUGUUUCUCGUACAGUCUUGAGUUACCAUGCGCCAAAUAAACCUCUUUUCUUUAUAAGUUACCCAGUUUUCACUAAGGCAACACUGUUAUAAAUUCAUUCUGCUGUGUUAUAAAUUAAUUCUUUGUCAGUUCCUGAACUCCUCGAGGUCAGGAGUAUGUCUUGUGUUUCUAAUUUCUGCAGGAAAUCCUGCAGCAAUGAGGUUCAGUGUAAAUCCACUGAACAAACACGUUUAAAUAAACUUGGCUUUGAAGAGCACGUGAUGACUUACAAAGGGCUACUCCACCCAGUCGCUAAUGUUCUAUAGUUGCAGAGGGCACCUAUCCUUGUGUUUCCAGUCCUAAGAGUCCCUUUCUGGUUUCAGUGAAGUUUAGAGGACCCAUCAUUCCACUGAUCAAUAAACGCCAUAUCUACUUUACCUU
Molecule: long non-coding RNA, 1786 nt
Filed under: Homo sapiens (human)
Lineage: Eukaryota; Metazoa; Chordata; Mammalia; Primates; Hominidae
Description: HSALNT0123989
Source: RNAcentral